UACGUAGGGGCGAGCGUUGUCCGGAAUGACUGGGCGUAAAGGGCGUGUAGGCGGCCAAUUAAGUCUGGAGUGAAAGUCCUGUUUUUAAGGUGGGAAUUGCUUUGGAUACUGGUUGGCUUGAGUGCGGAAGAGGUAAGUGGAAUUCCCAGUGUAGCGGUGAAAUGCGUAGAGAUUGGGAGGAACACCAGUGGCGAAGGCGACUUUCUGGCCGUAACUGACGCUGAGGCGCGAAAGCGUGGGGAGCAAACAGGAUUAGAUACCCUGGUAGUCCCUGAGCGGG
RNAcentral lists this ribosomal RNA (280 nucleotides) under uncultured prokaryote. Its description in RNAcentral is "partial 16S ribosomal RNA". It matches the Rfam family "Bacterial small subunit ribosomal RNA", at positions 524 to 803 of the family's 1533-position model. The record is from RNAcentral.